AUACAUAGGGGGCAAGCGUUAUCCGGAAUUAUUGGGCGUAAAGCGUGCGUAGGCGGUUUAUUAAGUCUGAUGUUAAAUCCCACAGCUUAACUGGGGGCGGCCGUUGGAAACUGGUAGACUUGAGGGCGGUAGAGGGAGGUGGAAUUCCAAGUGGAGCGGUGGAAUGCGUAGAUAUUGGGAGGAACACCAGUGGCGAAGGCGGCUUACUGGGCCGUUACUGACGCUGAGGCACGAAAGCGUGGGGAGCAAACAGGAUUAGAUCCCCUGGUAGUCCACGCCGUAAACGAUGAGCACUAAGUGUCGGAUGAAUGUUCGGCGCUGCAGUUAACACAAUAAGUGCUCCGCCUGGGGAGUACGGUCGCAAGACUGAAACUUAAAGGAAUUGACGGGG
RNAcentral lists this ribosomal RNA (391 nucleotides) under uncultured bacterium. RNAcentral describes it as "partial 16S ribosomal RNA". It matches the Rfam family "Bacterial small subunit ribosomal RNA", at positions 523 to 918 of the family's 1533-position model. The record is from RNAcentral.